AUUGAACGCUGGCGGCAGGCUUAACACAUGCAAGUCGAGCGGGGUGAUGGUGCUUGCACUAUCACUUAGCGGCGGACGGGUGAGUAAUGCUUAGGAAUCUGCCUAUUAGUGGGGGACAACAUCUCGAAAGGGAUGCUAAUACCGCAUACGUCCUACGGGAGAAAGCAGGGGAUCACUUGUGACCUUGCGCUAAUAGAUGAGCCUAAGUCGGAUUAGCUAGUUGGUGGGGUAAAGGCCUACCAAGGCGACGAUCUGUAGCGGGUCUGAGAGGAUGAUCCGCCACACUGGGACUGAGACACGGCCCAGACUCUUACGGGAGGCAGCAGUGGGGAAUAUUGGACAAUGGGGGGAACCCUGAUCCAGCCAUGCCGCGUGUGUGAAGAAGGCCUUAAGGUUGUAAAGCACUUUAAGCGAGGAGGAGGCUCUUUUGGUUAAUACCCAAGAUGAGUGGACGUUACUCGCAGAAUAAGCACCGGCUAACUCUGUGCCAGCCGCCGCAGUAA
RNAcentral lists this ribosomal RNA (503 nucleotides) under uncultured bacterium. RNAcentral describes it as "partial 16S ribosomal RNA". It matches the Rfam family "Bacterial small subunit ribosomal RNA", at positions 30 to 523 of the family's 1533-position model. The record is from RNAcentral.